GACGAACGCUGGCGGCGUGCUUAACACAUGCAAGUCGAACGGAAAGGCCCUGCUUUUGUGGGGUGCUCGAGUGGCGAACGGGUGAGUAACACGUGAGUAACCUGCCCUUGACUUUGGGAUAACUUCAGGAAACUGGGGCUAAUACCGGAAAGGAGCUCCUGCUGCAUGGUGGGGGUUGGAAAGUUUCGGCGGUUGGGGAUGGACUCGCGGCUUAUCAGCUUGUUGGUGGGGUAGUGGCUUACCAAGGCUUUGACGGGUAGCCGGCCUGAGAGGGUGACCGGCCACAUUGGGACUGAGAUACGGCCCAGACUCCGACGGGAGGCAGCAGUGGGGAAUAUUGCACAAUGGGCGGAAGCCUGAUGCAGCAACGCCGCGUGCGGGAUGACGGCCUUCGGGUUGUAAACCGCUUUCGCCUGUGACGAAGCGUGAGUGACGGUAAUGAGUAAAGAAGCACCGGCUAACUACGUG
RNAcentral lists this ribosomal RNA (468 nucleotides) under uncultured bacterium. Its description in RNAcentral is "partial 16S ribosomal RNA". It matches the Rfam family "Bacterial small subunit ribosomal RNA", at positions 28 to 507 of the family's 1533-position model. The record is from RNAcentral.